RNAcentral lists this ribosomal RNA (374 nucleotides) under Lophodermium illiciicola. RNAcentral's name for it is "partial 18S ribosomal RNA". Lineage: Eukaryota; Fungi; Ascomycota; Leotiomycetes; Rhytismatales; Rhytismataceae. The record is from RNAcentral.
UGGAAGUAAAAGUGGUAACAAGGUUUUGCUUUACAGUGAAUAAGAUCUUUCUAUCACUUACGGAAGCCUUUGCGCCCUGGUUUCAGGCAGCUCCGCGACUCUUCAAAAACAAUGGAACCUUAGCGCAAGUCAAAAACUGGGUUUUUGGCGACACAACUAAAUUACGGGGAUGCCCUACGCCCAACCUACCCGGCGGUCACGCGUGACCUACCCGGGGUUGCGCUUAAGGACGAUCCGAAGUACCGCCCCUGGUAUUCACAGACUAAAUGGUUGUGGGUUCGGCAUGUGCGCCGAGCUUAAGAUAUAGUCGGGCUUUGUAGCGUAAGCACGAAGAGUUUUACCGUUCCGUAGGUGAACCUGCGGAAGGAUCAUUA